GAUGAACGCUGGCGGCGUGCCUAAUACAUGCAAGUCGAGCGAACGGACGAGAAGCUUGCUUCUCUGAUGUUAGCGGCGGACGGGUGAGUAACACGUGGAUAACCUACCUAUAAGACUGGGAUAACUUCGGGAAACCGGAGCUAAUACCGGAUAAUAUUUUGAACCGCAUGGUUCAAAAGUAAAAGACGGUCUUGCUGUCACUUAUAGAUGGAUCCGCGCUGCAUUAGCUAGUUGGUAAGGUAACGGCUUACCAAGGCAACGAUGCAUAGCCGACCUGAGAGGGUGAUCGGCCACACUGGAACUGAGACACGGUCCAGACUCCUACGGGAGGCAGCAGUAGGGAAUCUUCCGCAAUGGGCGAAAGCCUGACGGAGCAACGCCGCGUGAGUGAUGAAGGUCUUCGGAUCGUAAAACUCUGUUAUUAGGGAAGAACAUAUGUGUAAGUAACUAUGCACAUCUUGACGGUACCUAAUCAGAAAGCCACGGCUAACUACGUG
Molecule: ribosomal RNA, 497 nt
Filed under: uncultured bacterium
Lineage: Bacteria
Description: partial 16S ribosomal RNA
Rfam family: Bacterial small subunit ribosomal RNA
Source: RNAcentral